This 1107-nucleotide ribosomal RNA is filed under the name Plumatella emarginata. RNAcentral describes it as "partial 16S ribosomal RNA". It matches the Rfam family "Bacterial large subunit ribosomal RNA", at positions 456 to 2536 of the family's 2925-position model. Lineage: Eukaryota; Metazoa; Bryozoa; Phylactolaemata; Plumatellidae. The record is from RNAcentral.
ACACUAAAAGCUCGCUCCCACCAAAUUACUGAUCAAUUAAACUAAUCAUAAUUUUCAGAGAAGUACAGGUGAUAGAACCUCGAGAAAGGAGCAAUAGAGAAAUAGUAUCGCAAGAGAACGCUUCUAAUAAAUUUAAGAAGAGAUUAACCCUCGUCCCUUGUGUAUCAUGGCUUAGCAACCUAAUAAGUUAAAUUAUUAUUCCCGAAACUCAGUGAGCUACUAACCCCCAGUUUAGAACUAAUCAAUUCUUGUGGAAAAAAGAUUGAAAGAGGCUUUAGUAGAGACUAGAUAUCUGUCGCACUGAGUAAUAGCUGGUUUCUGGGGAAAUAUAUCAAAGUAUAGGGGAAGUAACAAUUCCACCUCUUGCUCAGGGGACAACCUCUAAGCAAUAUGAGUUCUGCAAUUUUUAACCUUGAUCAUACUCUAGGCUUAAAAACAGCCCUGAUAAGAAAACAAGUUUCAUUGUAUUGAGAAAUAUAGGUAUAAUUAUAAAUACGCAACCUUCAAGUACCCAGAAAUUCCGAUCAACAUCUAUCGGAGGAUAUUCUGCUAAGACGAGUAUAGGGCUAUAAGAGUCGAAAGACCCGUAAAAGCACUAAGAAAAUACAGAUAAGGAACUCGGCAAACACAAGCUCCGCCUGCUUAUCAAAAGCAUCGCCAUUCGCCAUCAUGAAAGGUAAGGCCUGCCCAGUGGGAUCUCAACGGCUGCGGUAUCUUGACCGUACUAAGGUAGCAUAAUCACUUGUCCCCUAAUUAGGGACUAGAAUCAAUGGCUAAACGAGAGCUUAACUGUCUCAUCUGUAAAAAUAAAAACUUACUUUCAAGUGAAAAGGCUUGAAUAAACCAGGAGGACAAGAAGACCCUAUGGAGCUUUAGGGGUUAAGUCUGUACAAAUCUAACAUUAAUGAAAAGAUCAAAAGACUAAUCACUUUGGUUGGGGCAACCGAAGUACACACAAACCACUUCUUCAAGAAAUGCCGAUAGGCAAAAAGAUAUUUCACAAAGAUCCUAGAGUAAAGAUCAUGAGAAUAAGUUACCCUAGGGAUAACAGCGUAAUUCUUCCUGAGAGCCCUUAUCGAAGGAAGAGGUUGCGACCUCGAUGUUGGA